Molecule: non-coding RNA, 233 nt
Organism: Cinara cedri
Lineage: Eukaryota; Metazoa; Arthropoda; Insecta; Hemiptera; Aphididae
Source: the annotation of a GenBank genome assembly
ACUCGUGAUAACAGUAAACAAUAGUAAAUAAUCAUAUUGCAAAAUUUAAAUUUUCUUUCUUGUACAACAAAAUUGGCGUGGAAAAAAUAAUGGGACAAAUUCAUAAUGACAUCUAUACAAAUACAAAUAAUUUAUCCAGUGAUAAGCAGUUGUCUGAAAGUGAUAAGAACCGUUUUUCGGUAACGCGGCCCGGUCGCAUAUUAACAUAUUAUACUGCACACGAAAUAAUAGCC